CCUACGGGUGGCUGCAGUGGGGAAUAUUGCACAAUGGGCGCAAGCCUGAUGCAGCCAUGCCGCGUGUGUGAAGAGGGCCUUCGGGUUGUAAAGCACUUUCAGCGGGGAGGAAGGCGGUGAGGUUAAUAACCUCAUCGAUUGACGUUACCCGCAGAAGAAGCACCGGCUAACUCCGUGCCAGCAGCCGCGGUAAUACGGAGGGUGCAAGCGUUAAUCGGAAUUACUGGGCGUAAAGCGCACGCAGGCGGUCUGUCAAGUCGGAUGUGAAAUCCCCGGGCUCAACCUGGGAACUGCAUUCGAAACUGGCAGGCUAGAGUCUUGUAGAGGGGGGUAGAAUUCCAGGUGUAGCGGUGAAAUGCGUAGAGAUCUGGAGGAAUACCGGUGGCGAAGGCGGCCCCCUGGACAAAGACUGACGCUCAGGUGCGAAAGCGUGGGGAGCAAACAGGAUUAGAUACCCGGGUAGUC
This 465-nucleotide ribosomal RNA is filed under the name uncultured Klebsiella sp. Its description in RNAcentral is "bacterial SSU rRNA". It matches the Rfam family "Bacterial small subunit ribosomal RNA", at positions 338 to 795 of the family's 1533-position model. Lineage: Bacteria; Pseudomonadati; Pseudomonadota; Gammaproteobacteria; Enterobacterales; Enterobacteriaceae. The record is from RNAcentral.